AGGUUCUGCACGACCUGGCCCAGCCCACCUUUCCAGCCUCCUGUCCCUAUAUGGUCCAUACCCACCCGAUCUCCCCCCCGCCCCCCAACAUCAACCCUGCUCUUCUGACCUCUUCACAGGACUCACUCCUCUCUUCCUUCCCAGCCCAGGUUGUUAGACAUGAAUCUAGGUACUCCCUGAUUUGUGUAGAAGGGAAAAGAAGAAGGAAUGAUGGCUGUGGCACACCGUGAUCUCAGAAUCCUUGCUGUUUCCCAGGCACAGGGCCAACAGUUCCCGAUGGAUCAUUUCAUUUCAUUCUUUCUAGCAGUCUGUGAGCUCCUGGGCACCUCUGUGCGUUCUGGCUCCAUGCACUUGCCUGUCCUAGGUUGCUCCUCUAAGUGGAUUCGUACAGCAUUUGUCAUUUUGUGACCGGCUUCCAUCAGUCUUCAAGGUGCAUCCCCAUUGGAGCAGGCGCCAGAACUUUCCUUUCACAUUUCACAGCUGAGAAAUGCUCCUGUGUGCGGAGAGACCACAUUUUGCUCAGCCAUUCAUCUGUCACUGGACACUCUCGCCUUUCGGCUGCCGAGACUGCUGCUGCUCAGGGCACUGGUGUGUGACAAUGUGCUGGGGUCCCUGCCUCCCCUGCCAUCGGGCAGAUACCUGGCAGUGGACUUGUGGCAUCACGGGGCGGCUGCAUGUUUGCUCUCUGGGGAGCCUGCCAACCUUUUUCCAGAGUGGGCGCACCGCUUUACACUCCCACCGGCGAUGCACGAGGACUUCCCAUUUCUCUGCGUUCUCACCGACACGUGUUUUAUUUAGUCUUGUUUCUGGUAGUGGCCAUCCUAGGGGGUGUGAGGUGGGGUUCUGGAGAAAUGUCUAUGCAAAUCCGUACUCUGUUUUUUAAACACUUUAAAAAAUCCAAGUAUAAUUUAAUACUGUGGGACUUACCCAUUUUAGUGAAUACUUCCAUGACCCUUCCUUGCUUCCUCCAGCUCCUGGCAUUUGGCCCAUGGCCGCGUCUCUGCCUCUGCCUUCACGUGGCGCCUUCCCCGUAGAUCAGAUCUCCUCUCCUCCUGUCACGAGGACUCUGUCAUCGGAUUUAGGACCCACCCUAAUGCAGGAUGAGCUCACCUUGAUCCUUGCCUUAAUCCCAUCUGCAGAGACUCCGUUUCCAAAUAAGGUCAUAGUCACAGGCACCGCCCUUGGGGCUCUGACUAUCUUUUUGGGGGACACAAUUCAACCCACUACAGAGCUCCAUAAUCAAGAUACAGAGCCAUCCUAUCAAUGCUGCCUCAAAUUACUUUUGUUUUUCAAUGAAAAAGAUGAAAACAGGGCCAUCGUGUCCUCACUGUGAUGAAACUGACUUCAGUCCACUUGAUGAUAGAUUAUACACCCAUCUUUCUUUCACCUGAGAGGGCUCCUUCGUCAUUUAAAAGAAGCCCAAGUGAUAGAUGGGAGUUUCUGGAAAGAGAAACACACGUUAUCCUGCACUUGAACCCUCAGAGCCUAGCCCAAUGCCCAGUGCAUAGUAGUGCCGGGUCCGUGUUUGUCGAGUGACUAUACAAAAGAGUGAGUUUCCAGGGAGCUGGGAGGAUGCCACUUGUCUCCAGCCACCUGUCCUUUCUGGGCACCCCUUGCCUGUCCAGUCCCACACCGGACCAAACCGACUUGCUCCGCGGGCCUUCUCCAGAAACCUCCAGGCAUUUUGCAGUCGGCUGCUUGCGGGGACCAGAGGUGUGUUUCUCCUGCUUUGGCCUCUCCCCCUUCGAGGGUUUUCAUUCCAGAGAGGGCUAAGGCAACUCUCUCCAGGUUUUAUAAGCUGAUAGAACAGGGCUGUCAAAUGCUUUUUAUGGGAGAAGAAACAGGAAGAUGGUUUGUUUUGCAGACAGCGGAUUAUUGAGUAAUUACAUUUUUAUAGAGCUGUUGUGGGGCAAAUCACGGCCCCGCUGUCUCCUUUGAUGCCAAAAGGCAGACGGCCCCAUAAAGAUCAGAACAAGCGAAGGUGAAAGGGGUCAGAGACAGAGCUGCCCCUUCGGGAAAUGCCCCCUCUUGCCAUGUGUGUUUUGGCUCGUCAUACUCAUAGCAACCUUCUUGCCUCCUUCCCCUGCAUAUAGAGAAAAGGAGAGACAGAAAAAAAGGUGUUGCCUGGUCGGGCCACCCCGGAGGGCAACAGUGCUGUUUAUUCUCCCUCUAAUACUGACUGACUCACUCACUCAUUCACCUACCCAUUCAUUAAUUCACUCCCUUAUUUAUCCAUUCAUUCAUUCACUCAUUCAUUCAGGCCUACAUUCAAGGGCUUGGGUACUUGCUAAGAGGCCCAAGGUAUAUUCAUUUUUUUUUUUUUUUUUCCUGAGCCUCCAUUUCUCUGUCCACUGAACACACAGGAAUCUGGGCUCACUAUGUGUCAUACACGACGGUGAUCAGGCUGAGCACAACCAGAGCCAUGGAGAAGAGUGGCGACAGAGUGUCGCCCCUGUAUAAAUGUGAGAUGUCACAGUGAUAUGUGCAACUUGGGAGGGGGAGAGGCGCAGGAGUGCCCCUAACAAGGCAUGUGAACUUGUCUGAGAAGACUUUCCUGGUGACUGAGACCUAAAGGUCAGAAGGAGUUGUCCAGCCAAGAGGUGGUGAUGGUGGCGGCCGGGGGUGGGGAAUGGUAGGGAGAGAAUAUUCCAGGCCAAGUGAGACAGCUCUGCCCAGGCUCCAUGGAAGGAGAGCUCGUGAAGCUUCCAAAUGAGCCGCGGGGCCCAAGCCAGCUGCUUUUAGACAGGCCCCAUGCCGGUUGUGCUGCCCAGAGCUGUGGCCAGGAAAUCCCUGUUCAGGCCUUGUUUGGCUCCAUUUCAAAGAUGGCCUCCCUUUGCAGAAAGAAAAUGUGCCACUGGGCUACUAUCUUAGACCCAGCCAUCCAUCUGGAGAAAGCCCUGUGGGCCCAGGUCUGGGGAGGCUCAGGCAAGCAGCCAGCAUGGUCAUGGCCUGGACUGAGGCCUUUCUUUCUGCCCUGGCAGGUUCCAGAAAGCUGUUCAUUGCUACUCCUUUUCCUGUCAGGUUAGGAACCAGACUGAGGGCCUGUUUUUUUACUGGUCCCAUCUGGAGACAAGUGUUUCAAAUCAAGUUGUCCCCUUCCCUGGUUUUAAAGAUGGCGGCCUCUUCUGGAGGCUUCCCGUCCCCCAUGCUGAUUUCCGGCUGUGGGACAAGUACCUUAAUAAAUGACUAUUUAUUUGGCCGCCCAGCCCUUCUGUGUGUGUU
Long non-coding RNA from Mustela erminea (ermine), 3222 nucleotides. RefSeq lists it as uncharacterized. NCBI's taxonomy places the organism in Eukaryota, Metazoa, Chordata, Mammalia, Carnivora, Mustelidae. The record is from RefSeq and is a predicted model, not a curated record. The transcript has 3 exons.